CACGAACCGUCCAAACGUUAUUCGGAAUUAUUGGGCUUGAAGGGUGCGUAGGCGGUGCUCUAAGUCGGGGGUGAAAUCCCUCGGCUCAACCGAGGAACUGCGCCCGAUACUGGAGUGCUAGAGGGAGACAGGGGUGAGCGGAACUGAUGGUGGAGCGGUGAAAUGCGUUGAUAUCAUCAGGAACACCGGUGGCGAAAGCGGCUCACUGGGUCUCUUCUGACGCUGAGGCACGAAAGCCAGGGUAGCGAACGGG
RNAcentral lists this ribosomal RNA (253 nucleotides) under uncultured bacterium. Its description in RNAcentral is "partial 16S ribosomal RNA". It matches the Rfam family "Bacterial small subunit ribosomal RNA", at positions 524 to 776 of the family's 1533-position model. The record is from RNAcentral.